This 901-nucleotide ribosomal RNA is filed under the name uncultured bacterium. RNAcentral's name for it is "bacterial SSU rRNA". It matches the Rfam family "Bacterial small subunit ribosomal RNA", at positions 47 to 917 of the family's 1533-position model. The record is from RNAcentral.
UNCUAUACAUGCAAGUCGAACGAACUACCCCAUGAACUGAAAGUGCUUGCACGGAAGGGAAUUGGAUUUUGUAGUUAGUGGCGGACGGGUGAGUAACACGUGGGUAACCUACCACACAGAAUGGAAUAACUAUUGGAAACGAUAGCUAAUACCGUAUAUGACCUUCGGGUUGAAAGGGGCGUAUGCCUCGCUGUGUGAUGGGCCUGCGGCGCAUUAGCUAGUUGGUAAGGUAAAGGCUUACCAAGGCGACGAUGCGUAGCCGGACUGAGAGGUCGAUCGGCCACAUUGGGACUGAGACACGGCCCAAACUUCUACGGGAGGCAGCAGUAGGGAAUUUUCCGCAAUGGACGAAAGUCUGACGGAGCAAUGCCGCGUGAGUGAUGAAGGUUUUCGAAUCGUAAAGCUCUGUUGUAAGGGAAGAAUAGCAGUAGUAGGAAAUGACUACUGUGUGACGGUACCUUACCAGAAAGCCACGGCUAACUACGUGCCAGCAGCCGCGGUAAUACGUAGGUGGCAAGCGUUAUCCGGGAAUUAUUGGGGCGUAAAGCGCAUGUAGGCGGCUCUUUAAGUCUGAUGUGAAAAGCCUGUGGCUCAACCACAGAAUUGCAUUGGAUACUGGAGAGCUAGAAUCUUGGAGAGGUAAGUGGAAUUUCAUGUGUAGCGGUGGAAUGCGUAGAUAUAUGAAAGGAACACCAAUUGGCGAAGGCAGCUUACUGGACAAGUAUUUGACGCUGAGAUGCGAAAAGUGUGGGGUAGCAAACAGGGAUUAGAUACCCCUGGUAGUCCACACCGCAAACGAUNAGUGCUAGGUAUUGGGGAUAACUCAGUGCCGANGUUAACGCAUCAAGCACUCCGCCGGGGGAGNACGGUCGCAGGCUNNAAACUCANAGGAAUUGACGGG